This 292-nucleotide ribosomal RNA is filed under the name uncultured bacterium. Its description in RNAcentral is "partial 16S ribosomal RNA". It matches the Rfam family "Bacterial small subunit ribosomal RNA", at positions 505 to 796 of the family's 1533-position model. The record is from RNAcentral.
GUGCCAGCCGCCGCGGUAAUACGGAGGGUGCAAGCGUUAAUCGGAAUUACUGGGCGUAAAGCGCACGUAGGUGGUUUGUUAAGCCAGCUGUGAAAUCCCCGGGCUCAACCUGGGCACUGCAGUUGGAACUGGCAAGCUAGAGUAGGGUAGAGGGGUGUGGAAUUUCAGGUGUAGCGGUGAAAUGCGUAGAUAUCUGAAGGAACAUCAGUGGCGAAGGCGACACCCUGGACUCAUACUGACACUGAGGUGCGAAAGCGUGGGGAGCAAACAGGAUUAGAAACCCUGGUAGUCC